Non-coding RNA from Pelobates cultripes (western spadefoot toad), 269 nucleotides. Lineage: Eukaryota; Metazoa; Chordata; Amphibia; Anura; Pelobatidae. The record is from the annotation of a GenBank genome assembly.
AAUUUUCAUUCUUGGGCUACCAUAGGGUCUCAAAGGCAACGUAACCAAUCUGGCGAAUUUUAAUGUGAAAAAACUGAAACGCAAGCCUUAUAUUUGACGCUGUAACUUUUGAAAACACCAUAAAACCUGUACAUGAGGGUACUGUUGUACUCGGGAGACUUCGCUGAACACAAAUAUUUGUGUUUCAAAACAGUAAAAAGUAUCACAGCAAUAAUAUUGUCCGUGUAAUGCUGUUUGUGCGUGAAAAAUGCAAAAAACUUCACUUUUAC